CUACCAAGGCGACGAUCCAUAGCUGGUCUGAGAGGAUGAUCAGCCACAUUGGGACUGAGACACGGCCCAAACUCCUACGGGAGGCAGCAGUGGGGAAUAUUGGACAAUGGGCGCAAGCCUGAUCCAGCCAUGCCGCGUGAGUGAUGAAGGUCUUAGGAUUGUAAAGCUCUUUCACCGGGGACGAUAAUGACGGUACCCGGAGAAGAAGCCCCGGCUAACUUCGUGCCAGCAGCCGCGGUAAUACGAAGGGGGCUAGCGUUGUUCGGAAUUACUGGGCGUAAAGCGCACGUAGGCGGAUAUUUAAGUCAGGGGUGAAAUCCCGGGGCUCAACCCCGGAACUGCCUUUGAUACUGGGUAUCUUGAGUGUGGUAGAGGUGAGUGGAAUUGCGAGUGUAGAGGUGAAAUUCGUAGAUAUUCGCAGGAACACCAGUGGCGAAGGCGGCUCACUGGACCGGUUCUGACGCUGAGGCGCGAAAGCGUGGGGAGCAAACAGGAUUAGAUACCCUGGUAGUCCACGCC
Molecule: ribosomal RNA, 519 nt
Filed under: uncultured bacterium
Lineage: Bacteria
Description: bacterial SSU rRNA
Rfam family: Bacterial small subunit ribosomal RNA
Source: RNAcentral